RNAcentral lists this long non-coding RNA (1673 nucleotides) under Gallus gallus (chicken). RNAcentral's name for it is "long non-coding RNA NONGGAT009150". Lineage: Eukaryota; Metazoa; Chordata; Aves; Galliformes; Phasianidae. The record is from RNAcentral.
GCCAGCAGGGCUUUAUGGGCAGAUGCCCCCAGUCCUGGGCUGAGCGCGCAGCUACGACUGCUCCUGCCUCAAAUCCUUUGGGUUCUGAUGCAGACACAGAGCACCCGGCUGUCCUUCAUACUUAACAGGCGCCGUCGCGGAUCCUCAACGUGUGACGCCGGGCCCUCCUCGCGCCGGGCAGCGCCACAGCGGUGCUUCCGACCGGACGUGUCACUAUGCAAUCUUCAGGAGGAGCGCUGGGAUCAGAGAACCGAUGUCAGCAGGAGCAGCUCCUGGGGCUGGGCGCUCUCCUUCUGCGAUUGUGCAGAUUGUGAAGCGCUCCAUUCAGAGCCAGCAAACACGCUCCGCUGUGCGCAGCGGCAGGGAGAAGUCACAAACAGGAGCGAGAACUGAUAGCAAACCCCCGGAGCAGCACGGAGCAGGGAGCACCUGCCUGACUUGUCAGCUUGCAGAGCUGCCUCCUGCACGCACCUCAGCACCAGAGCUCAGCACGGGAGGGCUGCUCUGCUCCGGACCCACAGGGUUGCUGGAGCCGCUGGCAGCUCCGCAGCGGCUGCGUUGGGGGGCUGUGUGUGCAGAGCGGUGAGCGCACGCUGCGCUUCGGAGGGUGUAGAAUACUGGUGGGUUGGAUGUAAAUAUUGCACCCGGAUUUUACCUAAAGCAGUUUGUGAUCCUUUAAGGAAGAGGACGUGCUUCUACUUUUAAUAAAUGUUAACUCUUUGCAUACGCAAGGUGGAAAGUGUUGCCUUGAAAUGCCUACGUUUCUGCCUGCCUAUCGGUGAUGUUAAUGUUAGUGGCUAGGAGCAACCAGAAGUGAAUGUUACUUAGAAACUCUUCUUAAAGAAAAACAUUAACAUGGAAUGUAUGACACCCCUCAUUGCUAAGAUAGGCCAUUUUCAGUGGCGUUACUCUAAGGCUCACUUUUUUUUAGGUGGGUGCGGAUUUAACUUUGCUGAGACGUGUGUGUUUUAAGAAACCAUCCUUUUUAGCCUCCCUUCAUCCCAACCACCGUGGUUUUACAGUUUCUAUCUCAGAGACUUAUGCAAUAUAAGAGCUCUUCACCUUCCCCCAGCUGAGGCCAAUGGCACAUUCAGUGAGCUCUGAGCAUUCUGCAAACACGCAGCCGGUGCUGCUAACCGAUACAAAGAGCACUGGAAGCAUUAGAGUGCGGAUGAUACAUGGCAUUCAUGCAGAAAGCAUCUCCUCAGUGCUUUAGGUGAGAAGCUGAUGUUCCCAGCAGCGUUGGGCUGGGGGGGUUGGUUGGCGUUGGCCCCCAGCCUUUGUUUUUGGCCCCGGGCCGUACGGUAACAGCAGUGCCGUAACUUUGCCAAAACCAUUUUUCAGGAGACUCAUUUUCCAAGGAAUGCACCCAAAGCGUUCGAACUCUGCCGAAGGUUUUGCAUGGCACGCGUUUCUAAGGAGAAACCCAUCUGCUCGAGUAAUCUCUUUGUAAUGUUUUUAGCUGUUUCGUUCCGUUUUGGUUCAUUUCAAUCCUGGAUUUUAUUAUCAGAAAAGCAGAAAAAUAAAAAAAAGGAUGCUUUGCCUAUCCCGCCUGUCUUGUGAACUCAGCCCAUUUCUGAAGACAUCAACCUGGCUGUAAGCAAACUGGGAAUACGAGCUCGUAUUUUAUCAAAGGGAAUGGAUUUGAUUUAAUAAAUUAAGACGUAUUUUGG